This 508-nucleotide ribosomal RNA is filed under the name uncultured bacterium. RNAcentral's name for it is "partial 16S ribosomal RNA". It matches the Rfam family "Bacterial small subunit ribosomal RNA", at positions 28 to 523 of the family's 1533-position model. The record is from RNAcentral.
GAUGAACGCUAGCUACAGGCUUAACACAUGCAAGUCGGGGGGAAACGAUAUUGGAAGCUUGCUUCCGAUAGGCGUCGACCGGCGCACGGGUGAGUAACGCGUAUCCAACCUGCCCACCACUUGGGAAUAACCUUGCGAAAGUAAGACUAAUGCCCAAUGAUAUCUCUAGAAGACAUCUGAAGGAGAUUAAAGUUUUAUCGGUGAUGGAUGGGGAUGCGUCUGAUUAGCUUGUUGGCGGGGUAACGGCCCACCAAGGCGACGAUCAGUAGGGGUUCUGAGAGGAAGGUCCCCCACAUUGGAACUGAGACACGGUCCAAACUCCUACGGGAGGCAGCAGUGAGGAAUAUUGGUCAAUGGGCGAGAGCCUGAACCAGCCAAGUAGCGCGCAGGAUGACGGCCCUAUGGGUUGUAAACUGCUUUUAUAAGGGAAUAAAGUUAGUCUCGUGAGACUUUUUGCAUGUACCUUAUGAAUAAGGACCGGCUAAUUCCGUGCCAGCCGCCGCAGUAA